GUCGGGAGAGACCUCCCUGGGCCUGGCCCCACUGCCCUGUGAGGAAGGGUUCGUGUGGUUGGCGUACAGUUCCGGGGCCCCUGGAACGCAGCAGCCUGCAAGAAACCGGGUUUUCUUCCCAAUAGGGAUGGCCCCGGGGGGUGUCUGUUGGAGACCAGAUGGAUGGGGAACAGGUGGUCAGGGCGGAAUUUCAGGCCCUGGCAGCAUGGGAGCAGGGCAGAGACUGGGGAGUUCAGGUACCCAGAGAUGCUGCUGGGGGAGCCGUUUUGGGAAGGAGGUGGCUCUCAGGAGGGUGCUGCACCCCAGCCCAGUCUGCAUGGGCGUCUCUUGCCUGUGCCAGAAGAACGAGGAUGAGUGUGCCGUGUGUCGGGAUGGCGGGGAGCUCAUCUGCUGUGACGGCUGCCCUCGGGCCUUCCACCUGGCCUGCCUGUCCCCUCCGCUCCGGGAGAUCCCCAGUGGGACCUGGAGGUGCUCCAGCUGCCUGCAGGCAACAGUCCAGGAGGUGCAGCCCCGGGCAGAGGAGCCCCAGCCCCAGGAGCCACCCGUGGAGACCCCGCUCCCCCCGGGGCUUAGGUCGGCGGGAGAGGAGCCCCGCUGCCAGGGCUGGACUCCUCGGCCCUGCACCCCCUACUGUGUGUGGGUCCUGAGGGUCAGCAGAACCUGGCUCCCGGUGCGCGUUGCGGGGUGUGCGGAGACGGCACGGACGUGCUGCGGUGUACUCACUGCGCCGCCGCCUUCCACUGGCGCUGCCACUUCCCAGCCGGCACCUCCCGGCCCGGGACGGGCCUGCGCUGCAGAUCCUGCUCAGGAGACGUGACCCCGGCCCCUGUGGAGGGGGUGCUGGCCCCCAGCCCCGCCCGCCUGGCCCCUGGGCCUGCCAAGGAUGACACUGCCAGUCACGAGCCCACUCUGCACAGGGAUGACCUGGAGUCCCUUCUGAGCGAGCACACCUUCGACGGCAUCCUGCAGUGGGCCAUCCAGAGCAUGGCCCGUCCGGUGGCCCCCUUCCCCUCCUGACCCCAGAUGGCCGGGACAUGCAGCUCUGAUGGGAGAGUGCCGAGAAGGACACCUCCUUCCUCAGCCCUGGAAGCCGGCCGGCUGGGAUCAAGAAGGGGACAGCGCCACCUCUUGUCAGUGCUCGGCUGUAAACAGCUCUGUGUUUCUGGGGACACCAGCCAUCAUGUGCCUGGAAAUUAAACCCUGCCCCACUUCUCUACUCUGGAAGUCCCCGGGAGCCUCUCCUUGCCUGGUGACCUACUAAAAAUAUAAAAAUUAGCCG
RNAcentral lists this small RNA (1279 nucleotides) under Pan troglodytes (chimpanzee). Its description in RNAcentral is "retained intron". The record is from RNAcentral. Lineage: Eukaryota; Metazoa; Chordata; Mammalia; Primates; Hominidae.